UUCCGGUUGAUCCCGCCGGAGGCCACUGCUAUCGGGGUUCGACUAAGCCAUGCGAGUCGUAUGUUCCCCUUCGGGGGAGCAUGGCGCACUGCUCAGUAACACGUGGAUAACCUACCCUUGGGACAGGGAUAACCCCGGGAAACUUGGGAUAAUACCUGAUAGACCAUGGAGGCUGGAAGGCGCCAUGGUUCAAAGGGGCAACCGCCCGCCCAAGGAUGGGUCUGCGGCCUAUCAGGUUGUAGUGGGUGUAACGCACCUACUAGCCUACGACGGGUACGGGCUGUGGGAGCAGGAGCCCGGAGAUGGAUUCUGAGACAUGAAUCCAGGCCCUACGGGGUGCAGCAGGCGCGAAAACUUUACAAUGCGGGAAACCGUGAUAAGGGAACCUCGAGUGCCGAUGCAUAGCAUCGGCUGUCCAGAUGCCUAAAAAGCAUCUGAUAGCAAGGGCCGGGCAAGACCGGUGCCAGCCGCCGCGGUAACACCGGCGGCUCGAGUGGUGGCCACUUUUAUUGGGUCUAAAGCGUCCGUAGCCGGCUUGGCAAGUCCCCUGGGAAAUCUGGCGGCUUAACCGUCAGGCGUCCAGAGGAUACUGCCAGGCUUGGGACCGGGAGAGGUGAGAGGUACCUCAGGGGUAGGGGUGAAAUCUUGUGAUCCCUGAGGGACCACCAGUGGCGAAGGCGUCUCACUAGAACGGGUCCGACGGUCAGGGACGAAAGCUGGGGGCACGAACCGGAUUAGAUACCCGGGUAGUCCCA
RNAcentral lists this ribosomal RNA (755 nucleotides) under archaeon enrichment culture clone Dan60S_A2E. RNAcentral's name for it is "bacterial SSU rRNA". It matches the Rfam family "Archaeal small subunit ribosomal RNA", at positions 1 to 749 of the family's 1478-position model. The record is from RNAcentral. RNAcentral also lists the same sequence under 4 other names.